Molecule: ribosomal RNA, 253 nt
Filed under: uncultured bacterium
Lineage: Bacteria
Description: partial 16S ribosomal RNA
Rfam family: Bacterial small subunit ribosomal RNA
Source: RNAcentral
UACAGAGGGUGCAAGCGUUAAUCGGAAUUACUGGGCGUAAAGCGCACGUAGGUGGCUGGGUAAGUUGGAUGUGAAAUCCCCGGGCUUAACUUGGGAAUUGCAUUCAAGACUGCCUUGCUAGAGUGUGGAAGAGGGAAGCGGAAUUCCAGGUGUAGCGGUGAAGUGCGUAGAUAUCUGGAGGAACAUCAGUGGCGAAGGCGGCUUCCUGGUCCAACACUGACACUGAGGUGCGAAAGCGUGGGGAGCAAACAGG